RNAcentral lists this ribosomal RNA (440 nucleotides) under uncultured bacterium. RNAcentral's name for it is "partial 16S ribosomal RNA". It matches the Rfam family "Bacterial small subunit ribosomal RNA", at positions 338 to 795 of the family's 1533-position model. The record is from RNAcentral.
CCUACGGGUGGCAGCAGUAGGGAAUCUUUCACAAUGGGCGAAAGCCUGAUGGAGCACCGCCGCGUGCAGGAUGAAGGCCUUCGGGUUGUAAACUGCUUUUAUAAGCGAGAAAUAUGAUGGUAACUUAUGAAUAAGGAUCGGCUAACUACGUGCCAGCAGCCGCGGUAAUACGGAGGAUUCAAGCGUUAUCCGGAUUUAUUGGGUUUAAAGGGUGCGUAGGCGGUCGGAUAAGUUAGAGGUGAAAUCCCGAGGCUCAACUUCGGAAUUGCCUCUGAUACUGUUCGGCUAGAGAGUAGUUGCGGUAGGCGGAAUGUAUGGUGUAGCGGUGAAAUGCUUAGAGAUCAUACAGAACACCGAUUGCGAAGGCAGCUUACCAAGCUACUUCUGACGUUGAGGCACGAAAGCGUGGGGAGCGAACAGGAUUAGAUACCCUGGUAGUC